UUUCCGUAGGUGAACCUGCGGGAGGAUCAUUACUGAGUUAGGGUCUUUAUGGCCCGACCUCCAACCCUUUGUUUAAUCUACCAUGUUGCUUUGGCAGGCCCGCUUAGAAAUGGGCCGCCGGAGACCUUUGAGUCUCUGGUCAGUGCCUGCCAGUAGCCUUUCUAAAUUCAUUUAUAACCGUGUCUGAAUAUACAAAGAAAAAUUAAAAUAAAACUUUCAACAACGGAUCUCUUGGUUCUG
Molecule: unclassified non-coding RNA, 240 nt
Filed under: plant metagenome
Description: partial contains small subunit ribosomal RNA, internal transcribed spacer 1, and 5.8S ribosomal RNA
Source: RNAcentral